This 2915-nucleotide ribosomal RNA is filed under the name Escherichia coli DEC9A. Its description in RNAcentral is "bacterial LSU rRNA". It matches the Rfam family "Bacterial large subunit ribosomal RNA". Lineage: Bacteria; Pseudomonadati; Pseudomonadota; Gammaproteobacteria; Enterobacterales; Enterobacteriaceae. The record is from RNAcentral.
UUAAGCGACUAAGCGUACACGGUGGAUGCCCUGGCAGUCAGAGGCGAUGAAGGACGUGCUAAUCUGCGAUAAGCGUCGGUAAGGUGAUAUGAACCGUUAUAACCGGCGAUUUCCGAAUGGGGAAACCCAGUGUGAUUCGUCACACUAUCAUUAACUGAAUCCAUAGGUUAAUGAGGCGAACCGGGGGAACUGAAACAUCUAAGUACCCCGAGGAAAAGAAAUCAACCGAGAUUCCCCCAGUAGCGGCGAGCGAACGGGGAGCAGCCCAGAGCCUGAAUCAGUAUGUGUGUUAGUGGAAGCGUCUGGAAAGGCGCGCGAUACAGGGUGACAGCCCCGUACCAAAAAUGCACAUGCUGCGAGCUCGAUGAGUAGGGCGGGACACGUGGUAUCCUGUCUGAAUAUGGGGGGACCAUCCUCCAAGGCUAAAUACUCCUGACUGACCGAUAGUGAACCAGUACCGUGAGGGAAAGGCGAAAAGAACCCCGGCGAGGGGAGUGAAAAAGAACCUGAAACCGUGUACGUACAAGCAGUGGGAGCACGCUUAGGAGCACAGAGCAAUCUGUGUGACUGCGUACCUUUUGUAUAAUGGGUCAGCGACUUAUAUUCUGUAGCAAGGUUAACCGAAUAGGGGAGCCGAAGGGAAACCGAGUCUUAACUGGGCGUUAAGUUGCAGGGUAUAGACCCGAAACCCGGUGAUCUAGCCAUGGGCAGGUUGAAGGUUGGGUAACACUAACUGGAGGACCGAACCGACUAAUGUUGAAAAAUUAGCGGAUGACUUGUGGCUGGGGGUGAAAGGCCAAUCAAACCGGGAGAUAGCUGGUUCUCCCCGAAAGCUAUUUAGGUAGCGCCUCGUGAAUUCAUCUCCGGAGGUAGAGCACUGUUUCGGCAAGGGGGUCAUCCCGACUUACCAACCCGAUGCAAACUGCGAAUACCGGAGAAUGUUAUCACGGGAGACACACGGCGGGUGCUAACGUCCGUCGUGAAGAGGGAAACAACCCAGACCGCCAGCUAAGGUCCCAAAGUCAUGGUUAAGUGGGAAACGAUGUGGGAAGGCCCAGACAGCCAGGAUGUUGGCUUAGAAGCAGCGAUCAUUUAAAGAAAGCGUAAUAGCUCACUGGUCGAGUCGGCCUGCGCGGAAGAUGUAACGGGGCUAAACCAUGCACCGAAGCUGCGGCAGCGACGCUGAUGCGUUGUUGGGUAGGGGAGCGUUCUGUAAGCCUGUGAAGGUGUGCUGUGAGGCAUGCUGGAGGUAUCAGAAGUGCGAAUGCUGACAUAAGUAACGAUAAAGCGGGUGAAAAGCCCGCUCGCCGGAAGACCAAGGGUUCCUGUCCAACGUUAAUCGGGGCAGGGUGAGUCGACCCUUAAGGCGAGGCCGAAAGGCGUAGUCGAUGGGAAACAGGUUAAUAUUCCUGUACUUGGUGUUACUGCGAAGGGGGGACGGAGAAGGCUAUGUUGGCCGGGCGACGGUUGUCCCGGUUUAAGCGUGUAGGCUGGUUUUCCAGGCAAAUCCGGAAAAUCAAGGCUGAGGCGUGAUGACGAGGCACUACGGUACUGAAGCAACAAAUGCCCUGCUUCCAGGAAAAGCCUCUAAGCAUCAGGUAACAUCAAAUCGUACCCCAAACCGACACAGGUGGUCAGGUAGAGAAUACCAAGGCGCUUGAGAGAACUCGGGUGAAGGAACUAGGCAAAAUGGUGCCGUAACUUCGGGAGAAGGCACGCUGAUAUGUAGGUGAAGUCCCUCGCGGAUGGAGCUGAAAUCAGUCGAAGAUACCAGCUGGCUGCAACUGUUUAUUAAAAACACAGCACUGUGCAAACACGAAAGUGGACGUAUACGGUGUGACGCCUGCCCGGUGCCGGAAGGUUAAUUGAUGGGGUUAGCGCAAGCGAAGCUCUUGAUCGAAGCCCCGGUAAACGGCGGCCGUAACUAUAACGGUCCUAAGGUAGCGAAAUUCCUUGUCGGGUAAGUUCCGACCUGCACGAAUGGCGUAAUGAUGGCCAGGCUGUCUCCACCCGAGACUCAGUGAAAUUGAACUCGCUGUGAAGAUGCAGUGUACCCGCGGCAAGACGGAAAGACCCCGUGAACCUUUACUAUAGCUUGACACUGAACAUUGAGCCUUGAUGUGUAGGAUAGGUGGGAGGCUUUGAAGUGUGGACGCCAGUCUGCAUGGAGCCGACCUUGAAAUACCACCCUUUAAUGUUUGAUGUUCUAACGUUGACCCGUAAUCCGGGUUGCGGACAGUGUCUGGUGGGUAGUUUGACUGGGGCGGUCUCCUCCUAAAGAGUAACGGAGGAGCACGAAGGUUGGCUAAUCCUGGUCGGACAUCAGGAGGUUAGUGCAAUGGCAUAAGCCAGCUUGACUGCGAGCGUGACGGCGCGAGCAGGUGCGAAAGCAGGUCAUAGUGAUCCGGUGGUUCUGAAUGGAAGGGCCAUCGCUCAACGGAUAAAAGGUACUCCGGGGAUAACAGGCUGAUACCGCCCAAGAGUUCAUAUCGACGGCGGUGUUUGGCACCUCGAUGUCGGCUCAUCACAUCCUGGGGCUGAAGUAGGUCCCAAGGGUAUGGCUGUUCGCCAUUUAAAGUGGUACGCGAGCUGGGUUUAGAACGUCGUGAGACAGUUCGGUCCCUAUCUGCCGUGGGCGCUGGAGAACUGAGGGGGGCUGCUCCUAGUACGAGAGGACCGGAGUGGACGCAUCACUGGUGUUCGGGUUGUCAUGCCAAUGGCACUGCCCGGUAGCUAAAUGCGGAAGAGAUAAGUGCUGAAAGCAUCUAAGCACGAAACUUGCCCCGAGAUGAGUUCUCCCUGACUCCUUGAGAGUCCUGAAGGAACGUUGAAGACGACGACGUUGAUAGGCCGGGUGUGUAAGCGCAGCGAUGCGUUGAGCUAACCGGUACUAAUGAACCGUGAGGCUUAACCUU